Long non-coding RNA from Gasterosteus aculeatus aculeatus (three-spined stickleback), 466 nucleotides. The record is from Ensembl. Lineage: Eukaryota; Metazoa; Chordata; Actinopteri; Perciformes; Gasterosteidae.
CGGCCUUUGUGCGUCGGCCCCCACCCGCCCCUGAUUGAUCCCACCUGAGUCUAAUCGCUUACACCUCCCCGGUGUAUUUAAAGCCUGUGCUCCCCCGGUGCCUGUGCCGGUUCAUCUUUGCCGGUGUCCAGUGGGCCGGUGCCGUCUUUGUCUCUUCUGACGGUUUCCCUGAGACGCUGCUGGUAUUGACGAAGGGAUGAAGAGCAAUGGAUGGAGAUCCGGAUGUCGGAUGUGGAGCAGGAAUUCUGAUGAGCUCAGCGGGGGGGGACCACGGCCGGUGAGAUCUGGAGGACACUUCUGUAUGACUUCAAAACAGAAAAAAACAACUUCCACCGAGGGCACCGUGCAAGUGGGUUACCGCAGGAGCAGUUCUUCCAACAUCAAGGCACAUGUCAUACUUGUUUUUGAAGUGAAAUAAACAUUUACCGAUGAAUAAUUGAUUUUAUCUGUAUUAUUUGAGGGGGAG